This 468-nucleotide ribosomal RNA is filed under the name uncultured bacterium. RNAcentral describes it as "partial 16S ribosomal RNA". It matches the Rfam family "Bacterial small subunit ribosomal RNA", at positions 28 to 507 of the family's 1533-position model. The record is from RNAcentral.
GACGAACGCCGGCGGCGUGCUUAACACAUGCAAGUCGAACGGAAAGGCCCUGCUUUUGUGGGGUGCUCGAGUGGCGAACGGGUGAGUAACACGUGAGUAACCUGCCCUUGACUUUGGGAUAACUUCAGGAAACUGGGGCUAAUACCGGAUAGGAGCUCCUGCUGCAUGGUGGGGGUUGGAAAGUUUCGGCGGUUGGGGAUGGACUCGCGGCUUAUCAGCUUGUUGGUGGGGUAGUGGCUUACCAAGGCUUUGACGGGUAGCCGGCCUGAGAGGGUGACCGGCCACAUUGGGACUGAGAUACGGCCCAGACUCCUACGGGAGGCAGCAGUGGGGAAUAUUGCACAAUGGGCGGAAGCCUGAUGUAGCAACGCCGCGUGCGGGAUGACGGCCUUCGGGUUGUAAACCGCUUUCGCCUGUGACGAAGCGUGAGUGACGGUAAUGGGUAAAGAAGCACCGGCUAACUACGUG